UACAGAGGGGGCAAGCGUUGUUCGGAAUUACUGGGCGUAAAGCGUGCGCAGGCGGUUUUGUAAGUCUGUUGUGAAAUCCCCGGGCUCAACCUGGGAAUGGCAAUGGAGACUGCAAGGCUAGAGUUUGGCAGAGGGGGGUAGAAUUCCACGUGUAGCAGUGAAAUGCGUAGAUAUGUGGAGGAACACCGAUGGCGAAGGCAGCCCCCUGGGUCAAAACUGACGCUCAUGCACGAAAGCGUGGGGAGCAAACAGG
Molecule: ribosomal RNA, 253 nt
Filed under: uncultured bacterium
Lineage: Bacteria
Description: partial 16S ribosomal RNA
Rfam family: Bacterial small subunit ribosomal RNA
Source: RNAcentral